This 253-nucleotide ribosomal RNA is filed under the name uncultured bacterium. RNAcentral describes it as "partial 16S ribosomal RNA". It matches the Rfam family "Bacterial small subunit ribosomal RNA", at positions 524 to 776 of the family's 1533-position model. The record is from RNAcentral.
UACGUAGGGUGCAAGCGUUAAUCGGAAUUACUGGGCGUAAAGCGUGCGCAGGCGGUGAUGUAAGCCAGUUGUGAAAUCCCCGGGCUCAACCUGGGAACUGCAUCUGUGACUGCAUUGCUGGAGUGCGGCAGAGGGGGAUGGAAUUCCGCGUGUAGCAGUGAAAUGCGUAGAUAUGCGGAGGAACACCGAUGGCGAAGGCAAUCCCCUGGGCCUGCACUGACGCUCAUGCACGAAAGCGUGGGGAGCAAACAGG